GUUAAAAAGCUCGUAGUUGGAUUUCGGAGUGAGCUAGUUGGUCCGCCGCAAGGUGUGUUACUGACUAGUUUGCUCUUCUUCGCAAAGACUGCGUGUGCUCUUGAGUGAGUGUGCGUAGGAUUUACGACGUUUACUUUGAAAAAAUUAGAGUGUUCAAAGCAGGCUAUUGCUUGAAUACAUGAGCUUGGAAUAAUGGAAUAGGACUUUGGUCCCAUUUUGUUGGUUUCUAGGACCGAAGUAAUGAUUAAGAGGGACAAUUGGGGGCAUCCGUAUUUCGUUGUCAGAGGUGAAAUUCUUGGAUUUAUGAAAGACGAACUUCUGCGAAAGCAUUUGCCAAGGAUGUUUUCAUUAAUCAAGAACGAAAGUUGGGGGCUCCGAAGACGAUCAGAUACCGUCCUGGUCUCAACCAUAAACGAUGCCGACUAGGGAUUGGCGGAUGUUAAAUCGAUGACUUCGCCAGCACCUUCUGAGAAAUCAAAGUUUUUGGGUUCCGGGGGGAGUAUGG
RNAcentral lists this ribosomal RNA (505 nucleotides) under uncultured marine eukaryote. Its description in RNAcentral is "bacterial SSU rRNA". It matches the Rfam family "Eukaryotic small subunit ribosomal RNA", at positions 618 to 1128 of the family's 1831-position model. The record is from RNAcentral.